RNAcentral lists this ribosomal RNA (440 nucleotides) under uncultured bacterium. RNAcentral describes it as "partial 16S ribosomal RNA". It matches the Rfam family "Bacterial small subunit ribosomal RNA", at positions 338 to 795 of the family's 1533-position model. The record is from RNAcentral.
CCUACGGGUGGCAGCAGUGGGGGAUAUUGCACAAUGGGGGAAACCCUGAUGCAGCGACGCCGCGUGUGGGAAGACGGUCCUCUGGAUUGUAAACCACUGUCCCCAGGGACGAAGAUGACGGUACCUGGGGAGGAAGCUCCGGCUAACUACGUGCCAGCAGCCGCGGUAAUACGUAGGGAGCGAGCGUUGUCCGGAAUUACUGGGUGUAAAGGGAGCGUAGGCGGGGAUGCAAGUUGGGGGUCAAAACUACCGGCUCAACUGGUAGUCGCACUCAAAACUGCAGCUCUUGAGUGACGUAGAGGCAGGCGGAAUGCCGGGUGUAGCGGUGAAAUGCGUAGAUAUUAGGAGGAACACCAGUGGCGAAGGCGGAUUGCUGGACAGUAACUGACGCUGAGGCGCGAAAGCGUGGGGAGCGAACAGGAUUAGAUACCCUGGUAGUC